GUAAACAUAGUUUAAUUAAAACAUUAGAUUGUGAAUCUAAUAAUAGAAGUUUAAACCUUCUUAUUUACC
RNAcentral lists this transfer RNA (69 nucleotides) under Paradoxurus jerdoni (Jerdon's palm civet). Its description in RNAcentral is "tRNA-His". It matches the Rfam family "tRNA". From Rfam's summary of the family: Transfer RNA (tRNA) molecules are approximately 80 nucleotides in length. Their secondary structure includes four short double-helical elements and three loops (D, anti-codon, and T loops). Further hydrogen bonds mediate the characteristic L-shaped molecular structure. tRNAs have two regions of fundamental functional importance: the anti-codon, which is responsible for specific mRNA codon recognition, and the 3' end, to which the tRNAs corresponding amino acid is attached (by aminoacyl-tRNA synthetases). tRNAs cope with the degeneracy of the genetic code in two manners: having more than one tRNA (with a specific anti-codon) for a particular amino acid; and 'wobble' base-pairing, i.e. permitting non-standard base-pairing at the 3rd anti-codon position. Lineage: Eukaryota; Metazoa; Chordata; Mammalia; Carnivora; Viverridae. The record is from RNAcentral.